This is a non-coding RNA of Cordylochernes scorpioides, 75 nucleotides long. The record is from the annotation of a GenBank genome assembly. NCBI's taxonomy places the organism in Eukaryota, Metazoa, Arthropoda, Arachnida, Pseudoscorpiones, Chernetidae.
UAGGGGCAUGCGGAAUUGAACCACGGACCUUUAGAUCUGCAGUCGAAUGAUGCUCUACCACUGAGCUAUACCCUC